UGCGCAGGCGGUGCGUUAAGUCAGUGGAGAAAUCUCUCGGCUCAACCGAGAAACUGCCAUUGAUACUGGCGCACUUGAGUACGGACGAGGUAGGCGGAAUUUAUGGUGUAGCGGUGAAAUGCAUAGACACCAUAAAGAACACCGAUAGCGCAGGCAGCUUACUAGACCGUAACUGACGCUCAUGCACGAAAGCGUGGGGAGCGAACA
This 207-nucleotide ribosomal RNA is filed under the name uncultured bacterium. RNAcentral's name for it is "partial 16S ribosomal RNA". It matches the Rfam family "Bacterial small subunit ribosomal RNA", at positions 568 to 774 of the family's 1533-position model. The record is from RNAcentral.